RNAcentral lists this ribosomal RNA (496 nucleotides) under uncultured bacterium. RNAcentral's name for it is "partial 16S ribosomal RNA". It matches the Rfam family "Bacterial small subunit ribosomal RNA", at positions 29 to 507 of the family's 1533-position model. The record is from RNAcentral.
AUGAACGCUGGCGGCGUGCCUAAUACCUGCAGGUCGAGCGAACGGACGAGAAGCUUGCUUCUCUGAUGUUAGCGGCGGACGGGUGAGUAACACGUGGAUAACCUACCUAUAAGACUGGGAUAACUUCGGGAAACCGGAGCUAAUACCGGAUAAUAUUUUGAACCGCAUGGUUCAAAAGUGAAAGACGGUCUUGCUGUCACUUAUAGAUGGAUCCGCGCUGCAUUAGCUAGUUGGUAAGGUAACGGCUUACCAAGGCAACGAUGCAUAGCCGACCUGAGAGGGUGGCCGGCCACACGGGACCGGAGACCGGGCCCAGCCCCAGACGGGAGGAACCAGAAGGAAAUCUCCCGGAGGGGGCGAAAGCCUGCGGGAGCACCGCGGGGUGGUUGAUAAAGGUCUUCGGAUCGAAAACCUUUUUUAUUGGGGAAAAAAAUUUGUGUAAGUAACUGUGCACUUCUGGACGGUACCUAACAAAAAAGCCACGGCUAACUACGUG